UUUAGUCAUGGCUCAGGAUGAACGCUAGCGGCAGGCUUAACACAUGCAAGUCGAGGGGUAACAGGGAUUGCUUGCAAUCCGCUGACGACCGGCGCACGGGUGCGUAACGCGUAUACAAUCUGCCUUGUACUGAGGGAUAGCCUUUGGAAACGAAGAUUAAUACCUCAUGGUAUAUAGAAUUGGCAUCAAUUUUAUAUUAAAGGUUACGGUACAAGAUGAGUAUGCGUCCUAUUAGCUAGAUGGUGUGGUAACGGCAUACCAUGGCAACGAUAGGUAGGGGCCCUGAGAGGGGGAUCCCCCACACUGGUACUGAGACACGGACCAGACUCCUACGGGAGGCAGCAGUGAGGAAUAUUGGGCAAUGGAGGCAACUCUGACCCAGCCAUGCCGCGUGCAGGAAGACUGCCCUAUGGGUUGUAAACUGCUUUUAUACAGGAAGAAACAGCUCUACGUGUAGAGCCUUGACGGUACUGUAAGA
Molecule: ribosomal RNA, 478 nt
Filed under: uncultured Bacteroidota bacterium
Lineage: Bacteria; Pseudomonadati; Bacteroidota
Description: bacterial SSU rRNA
Rfam family: Bacterial small subunit ribosomal RNA
Source: RNAcentral